CAAGUUUUCUCUUCAAUUCCAGAUCCUGAUUCUGAUACGGGCAACCACAGUCUGCUCCCUGGUGACUGGGUUCUGGUCAAGAAAUUUGUGCGAAAACACACCCUGGAACCAAGAUUUGAUGGACCGUUCAAAGUUCUCCUGAUCUCCCCUUCCUCUGUCAAAUUGGCCGGAGGGCCUAACUGGAUCCACGCUUCCCAUUGCAAGAAGACACCUGCCCCAGAGGAAGCUAACUCUAUG
This is a non-coding RNA of Pelobates cultripes (western spadefoot toad), 237 nucleotides long. Lineage: Eukaryota; Metazoa; Chordata; Amphibia; Anura; Pelobatidae. The record is from the annotation of a GenBank genome assembly.